GAUGAAGAACGCAGCGAAAUGCGAUAAGUAAUGUGAAUUGCAGAAUUCAGUGAAUCAUCGAAUCUUUGAACGCACCUUGCACCCUUUGGCAUUCCGAAGGGUAUGCUCGUUUGAGUGUCAUUGUACUCUCACACUCUCCGAUCCUAUGGAUUCGGGGAGCGGUGGACUUGGGUGUUGCUGCCUUUCCCUGUGGCUCACCUCAAAUGCGUCAGUGCACCUCUUGGUUGGACAUAGUACGGCGUGAUAAGUGUCUUCGCCGGCACCUCGCAAGAGGGUGGCCGAUCGGGAGCUCUGCGCUUUCAAACCGUCUUCGGACAAUUUCUGACAUCUUGACCUCAAAUCGAGUAGGACUACCCGCUGAACUUAAGCAUAUUAAUAAGCGGAGGA
This 387-nucleotide unclassified non-coding RNA is filed under the name soil metagenome. RNAcentral describes it as "partial contains 5.8S ribosomal RNA, internal transcribed spacer 2, and large subunit ribosomal RNA". The stretch from base 1 to 120 matches the Rfam family "5.8S ribosomal RNA", at positions 35 to 154 of the family's 154-position model. The record is from RNAcentral.